This 4632-nucleotide small RNA is filed under the name Arabidopsis thaliana (thale cress). RNAcentral describes it as "ATSL276870". Lineage: Eukaryota; Viridiplantae; Streptophyta; Magnoliopsida; Brassicales; Brassicaceae. The record is from RNAcentral.
AUCAAAUCCGUCCGGUGAAACGCUAGCCUUAGACGUCAGCGUCCUACACAAUCUCGUGCCGAUCUGAAACUAGACGAAACCACGAUCUCAGUUACAAUCCCCGCUGGUCCUAAUUUGCGUAUGAGAAAACGUGUCUCACAAAACCGCGAAUAACUCAACCAUUUUUAAUCCAAAUCCACUUCUGUAAACUGGAGAAUAACGAUACAAGACUUGGGAAUAACUCUACCAAAUUUCGUUACCUUUGACAACGAUUUGAUAUGUCGAAAUCGUUUUCUCCCAAACCCUAACGAUUCUGGUUCUUCUCCUUCUCUCUCUUUUUCUCCUUUAUAAAACGAAAAGUGGCUAACUAAAGCCCUAAUUUUGAGUUUUCUUUUUUUAUAGGCACACUCUAGAGUUUCCAAUUAAUCCAACCGAUUAAACCGGACGAUUUAAAUACAAAUCCUAACCGAUAUUCCGGUUCACGGGCGUUACAAUUCUCCCCCACUAACAUAGAUUCGUCCUCGAAUCUAGCUUCACCCUUCCACUCCAAUAAACUCCGUGCAACCAUCACUACGGUCUGCACACCCUCCAACAAGACCCCCUCUAGGUCUCUCUAUCCAGUCAGUAUACUCAGAUUUACUAGUCAUUAUUGCUCACAACUCACUCUCCACUCUCAAACCGCAAUCUUCGAGCAUAAACUGUCACUCUCAGGCCUCGGCCUACGGCAUCUCGGGUAUCACACGUAUUAUCUUCCCCACUCAAAGUCAAACCCUGAGUUGUGUCGGCUCACUCUCAACCACAAAGUCAUCGAGUUACGAUAAAGCGUGCUCUCGGAUCGUCAUCCGAAGCCACCGUACCCCUCACACUCUAAAGACACCAAGUCUCUCGAGUUACCGGUACCUCAGGAGCAUACCCCGCUCCUCACAAGUUGUUGGGACCCUCAUGUCCCUCGAGCAACAAUACUAAACGCUUCCGAGCAUAUCUCCAGACUCUCUCAUGGAUUCGCGUAAGACACCUUUAUGCCUCACCAUCCAUCAUAUCCCCUUGGGAACAUCCUUAUGACCAACUCUCGGCCAUCUCGUAAACACACCUCUCUCUAAGGUUGUUUACUCAAACUUUCCAAAAAUAGACAAGUCCUUUUUGGGAAACUUUCCAUUCUUGGAAACCGCACAACACAUUCUUUAACAACACAACUCAAGUCAAAUAUAAUAAAAAAAUACUUAUCUUAUAAAUCAUCAAAUGUCAUGAUCGUUACAACGCCAAACUAAAGAGAAAUAAGAACAACAACUCAAAAGCUCAAAAACUCAACAACACUAAAACUGGAAACCAAGGAUAGGCAAACUCAUGCAGCAACCUGCUUCUCAAACCACUUCUUGAACCUUGCCUUCAUCCUCGCCUCUGGCUCCCAAGUCUCCUCUGUCACACCAUCGCAGUCCCAUAGGACUUUGAUCAAAGGAAUCUUUUUCCGUCAAAGUUCCUUGAUCCUCCUCUCGAGAACCCUCACUGGUCUCGCCUCCAAAGUCAUGUUUGGAUGAAAAUCCUCUGGAAUCUUAGCCAACACCUCAUCAUCCUUGUGAAGAAAUUUCCUCAGCAUCGACACAUGAAAGACCUUGUGAAACGCACGCAUAACAUCUGGCAACUCUAACUUGUAUGCCACUGGUCCUACCCUGUCAACAAUCCUGAACGGACCCAUGUACCUCGGACUCAACUUAGUCUCUGAGAUAGACCUGUUUGGACCUCACAACAUGACUAUCUUGAGAUACACUCUGUCCCCAACCUCAAAGUCAAGCUCUCUCCUCCUCUUGUCAACAUAACUCUGCUGUCGAUCUUGAGCUUCCUUCAUGUUCAGCUUAAGAACCCGGAUCCUCUCCGUGAUCUCCUGAACAUAAUCUGUACCAUAUAUGCUCCUCUUCCCCACGUGGGUCCAGCAUAACGGUGUCCUGCAUGGCCUCCCGUACAACGCCUCAAAAGGAGCCAUCCCAAUACUCGCCUGAUAGCUGUUGUUAUAAGCAAACUCUACCAGACUCAAGUGAUCCGCCCAAUGACCUCCCCAAUCCAAGACACACAUCCACAACAUAUCCUCAAGCGUCUGGAUAGUCCUCUCAGAUUGCCCAUCUGUCUGAGGAUGAUAAGCCGUGCUCAUCUCCACCUUAGUGCCCAUCUCUGCCUAAAAGGCUCUCCAAAACGCAGAAGUAAACUUGGAAUCCCUGUCUGAUACAAUACUCACAGAUACUCAAUGCAACUUCACGAUCUCGCUCACAUAUUUUUUAGCCAACACCGCCGCUCCAUUAGUUUUUCUGAUGGCCAGAAAAUGUGCUGACUUAGUCAGACGGUCCACGAUCACCCAAAUAACAUGUUUGGUUCGCGACACAGGCAACCCAGCCACGAAAUCCAUCAUGAUAAAAUCCCACUUCCACUCAGGAAUGGGUAAAUUCUGCAACAGGCCACCUGGCACCUGAUGCUCAGCCUUAACUAACUGGCAAACAUCGCACUCUACGACCCAAUUAGCUACAUCCCUCUUCAUCGCGACCCACUGAUAGUACCGCUUGAGGUCCCGGUACAUCUUAGUCGCUCCUGGAGAAUGGAAAACAUGCUCGCAUGAGCCUCACUCAAGAUUUCCCAUCGCAACUCCUCAUCCUUAGGCACACAAACUCGCCCAUGCACAAGGAUAGUCCCAUUAGCUGCGAACUAAUACUCAGAGCCCUCUGCCUUAGAAGCCGCAAUCAACCCCUCAUCCUUCUCCUGAGCCAACCGAACUCUACUCAAAAAAUCUGCUCGAUCCACAACUUCCAAUCCCAAUGGCUCCCGUGCCACAACACACAACCGCAAAGCACCAAUCUCACUCACCAAGGCCUCAACACUCUGCCCUGGAGCCGCACCCACAUGCUUACGGCUCAACGCCUCUACAACCACAUUAGCCUUACAAGGAUGGUAGGCUAUCUCCAGAUCAUAAUCAACCACCAAUUCCAUCCAUCGCCUCUGCCUCAGGUUCAGCUGGCUAAGUGAAGAUAUACUUCAAACUCUUAUGAUCCGUGAACACCUGCACUUUCCCGCCAUAAAGAUAAGACCUCCAAAUCUUUAAGGCAAAGAUCACCGCAACCAUCUCCAAAUCAUGAGUAGGAUAGUUGUCCUCAUGCUUCCUCAACUGCCGCGAUGCAUAGGCAAUAACCUUUCCACCCUGCAUCAAAACACAACCCAAACCAACUCUUGAGGUAUCAGUAUACACCAUGUAAGGCUCUCCAUGCUCUGACAAUGCUAACACUGGUGUACCGAUCAACAUCUCCUUCAGGCUCACGAAACCCUCUUCGCACUCCGGUUACCACACAAAAGGAACAUCCUUCCCUGUCAGCGUAGUCAUCUGUUGUGUCAUACUCGCAAACCCCUUGACGAACCUCUUGUAAUACCCUGCCAACCCAAGAAAACUCCUGAUCUCAGUGGCAUUCGUCGGUCUAGGCCAGUCUCUGAUAACCUCAAUCUUCUCCGGAUCCACUGAAACUCCUUCUACAGAAAUAAUGUGACCCAGAAAACUCAUCUCUCUCUGCCAAAAACUGCACUUGCUCAACUUAGCGAACAGCUUCUGCUCCCGCAACUUCUCCAUCAACCUUAUGAACGUUGUAGGUGCAUUAGUCAAACCGAAAGGCAUCACCACAAACUCAAAAUAUCCAUAUCCCAUCAUGAAAGCAGUCUUGCGAACAUCUGCCUCCGCUAUCGGGAUAUGGUGAUAACCCGACGUCAAAUCGAUUUUUGAGAAACAAGUAGCACCCCUCAACUGAUCCAACAACUCAUCGAUCCUUGGCAAAGGGUACUUGUUCUUCACGGUGACCCGGUUCAACUCCUGGUAGUCAAUAUAUAAGCGGAAACUCUUGUCCUUCUUCUUCACAAAUAACACUGGCGCUCCCCAAGGUGAAGUACUAAGACGAAUGAAUCCCUUACCCAACAAAUCCUCUAGCUGCUUCUUCAGCUCUGCCAUCUCUGCUGGAGUCAUCCUCUAGGGUGCCUUAGACAACGGCGCUGUCCCUUGUUCCAACUCAAUCGUGAAAGGAUCAAACAGUGAUGGUGGUAAUCCCUGCAAUGAUUGAAACACAUCCUCGAACUCCUGAACAACCCAAAUGUCGCUCAGUGCAGCCUGCCCCACAGACUCCGACAUAGAUAUCGUCACCAGGUAAGCCUCGCAGCCCUUCUCGAUCAUUUUCUCUACCUGCACUGCUGAGAUGACGAGACUCCCUAAGGUAGGUCUCACUCCCUGAUAAACCAACCUCCCUUCUGGCCGCUCAAAAGAAACUCUCCCACGGUGGCAAUCAAGAUGUACUCUGUAAUGAUCCAACCAAUCCAUUCCCAAAAUAACAUCAUAGAACUCUACAUGGCUGAUAAUCAUAUCUGCUGGCAUCGACUCUCUUGCAAUUUGAAUAUCCACACCCUUAGCUCUCCCUAGAACCGUUAGAAACUGCCCUCUAGCAACCUUGACGGCUCCAAACUGCUCACCAAGAUCCCCACGGAUGUUGCCGCGCGAGGCACUCUCCGGAGUAAUGAAGCAAUGCGAUGCUCCAGAGUCAAACAAAACAUGGGCCUCUACAUCGCCCACUAAUAAGGUCCCUACACAAACCUCAUGUGCUAAGAACCCUAACAUUCAUCACAAAACAAUGAUAUCUAAAA